AGAUAAACUUCGGGUGAUCGAGAUCAGCUAUUUUUCUGCAUCCAGCAGCCACAAUAGUCAUCGGUGUACUGCCACAGGAGGAGUUAUUUUACAGAGCAACCUGUUUUCUUCCUCGCAGGUUUAACGUCGAUUAUUUAAUUGUUUUACUAUCUUUUCUAAAUUUAAAAUCUAGAACUCCGCAUGUGUUAGUAAUAGUGUGGACCUUGUUAGAAAUUGUGUUAAUUUAAAUUUUUGAAAUUAAUAAAUGAAGAUUUGUAUGGUAUUUAAACAGUUUGUAAAUGAGGUAACAGGGUUGAGCUGGGCUCCCCUGAUUUUAGUUUCUGAAAAUUUCUGGGUUAAGUUGGCUCAAAAUAUAAUUAUAA
Molecule: long non-coding RNA, 362 nt
Organism: Hevea brasiliensis (rubber tree)
Lineage: Eukaryota; Viridiplantae; Streptophyta; Magnoliopsida; Malpighiales; Euphorbiaceae
Exons: 3
Source: RefSeq, a predicted model, not a curated record